GACGAACGCUGGCGGCGUGCUUAACACAUGCAAGUCGAACGGAAAGGCCCUUCGGGGUACUCGAGUGGCGAACGGGUGAGUAACACGUGGGUAAUCUGCCCUGCACUUCGGGAUAAGCCUGGGAAACUGGGUCUAAUACCGGAUAUGACCCCGAGGCGCAUGCCUUGGGGUGGAAAGCUUUUGCGGUGUGGGAUGGGCCCGCGGCCUAUCAGCUUGUUGGUGGGGUGAUGGCCUACCAAGGCGACGACGGGUAGCCGGCCUGAGAGGGUGUCCGGCCACACUGGGACUGAGAUACGGCCCAGACUCCUACGGGAGGCAGCAGUGGGGAAUAUUGCACAAUGGGCGCAAGCCUGAUGCAGCGACGCCGCGUGGGGGAUGACGGCCUUCGGGUUGUAAACCUCUUUCACCAUCGACGAAGGUCCGGGUUUCCUCG
Molecule: ribosomal RNA, 433 nt
Filed under: Mycobacteriaceae bacterium Ellin7100
Lineage: Bacteria; Bacillati; Actinomycetota; Actinomycetes; Mycobacteriales; Mycobacteriaceae
Description: bacterial SSU rRNA
Rfam family: Bacterial small subunit ribosomal RNA
Source: RNAcentral